This 732-nucleotide long non-coding RNA is filed under the name Prunus persica (peach). RNAcentral's name for it is "long non-coding RNA (PPER_LNC005499)". The record is from RNAcentral. Lineage: Eukaryota; Viridiplantae; Streptophyta; Magnoliopsida; Rosales; Rosaceae.
UUUCAUUUAAACAUAAGCUCAUUUUCCCUUACAUUUCCAUUUUCUUUCCUUCUUUGGAUCACUGAUCCUUCUUUACAGUGGAAGUCCAGCUACAAAAGCUAGAAGCUAUCCUAACAUAAGCAUUUUCCUACAAUCUAUUUUUAUUUCUAUUUUUGUCUUCUCUUCUCUUUCAUCCUCCUCUUACUCUUCGUAAUCACUCCUAUUCAUCGCCACCAUCUUGAGUUUCAUCUUCUUCACUUUCUCCUUCAUAUCUUUUGGCUUCAAAAUAUCCUUGAUGUCCUUGUUUUUAGUGUCAAAACAAAUGGUACGGAUCACAGAAUUUGUGUCCCAUUUGGCUCUCUUAGCAAGUUGGAGUAGAGUGUCAAAAUCCUCUCCGGAUUUUAUGAAAAAUUUGUGGUGUGAAACAGCGGUAUUCACUGCUUCAUUCAAAGUUUCCUCAGCAACCAACAAAUCGUUAGUUGCCUCCCUAAACUUUGAGAGAGCAAGUUGUGAGGCAGUAGGCAUUUUCGUUAGAACUUGGCUUGGCAAAAAGUUUGUGUGUGCACUGUGCUAUGAUCCACUCUCACUUGGCUGUGUCUAUCUUUAAAUAGAGCUAUUGGUAAUUCAACGAUUAAGAGAGACAGACAGCCUCCCUCCUCUCUCACUCAUCCCCCGUUCGCUUAGCUGUUAAAGCAUAUAGACAUUAUAGCGUAGCAGCAGAGCCAGAAAGCCAGAGCCCUGUCUCUCUCUCUG